CCGUCGUACGGGUGCGUAACGCGUAUGCAACCUACCUUCAACCGGGGGAUAGCCCGGGGAAACCCGGAUUAAUACCGCAUAAUACAUUUGGCUCACAUGGGCUGAUUUGUUAAAGAUUUAUUGGUUGAAGAUGGGCAUGCGUUCGAUUAGCUAGUUGGCAGGGUAACGGCCUACCAAGGCAACGAUCGAUAGGGGAGCUGAGAGGUUGAUCCCCCACACGGGCACUGAGAUACGGGCCCG
RNAcentral lists this ribosomal RNA (240 nucleotides) under uncultured bacterium. RNAcentral describes it as "partial 16S ribosomal RNA". It matches the Rfam family "Bacterial small subunit ribosomal RNA", at positions 95 to 334 of the family's 1533-position model. The record is from RNAcentral.